Molecule: ribosomal RNA, 535 nt
Filed under: uncultured Gammaproteobacteria bacterium
Lineage: Bacteria; Pseudomonadati; Pseudomonadota; Gammaproteobacteria
Description: bacterial SSU rRNA
Rfam family: Bacterial small subunit ribosomal RNA
Source: RNAcentral
GAGUUUGAUCAUGGCUCAGAUUGAACGCUGGCGGCAGGCCUAACACAUGCAAGUCGAGCGGAAACGACAACAUUGACCCUUCGGGUGAUUUGUUGGGCGUCGAGCGGCGGACGGGUGAGUAAUGCCUGGGAAAUUGCCCUGAUGUGGGGGAUAACCAUUGGAAACGAUGGCUAAUACCGCAUAAUAGCUUCGGCUCAAAGAGGGGGACCUUCGGGCCUCUCGCGUCAGGAUAUGCCCAGGUGGGAUUAGCUAGUUGGUGAGGUAAGGGCUCACCAAGGCAACGAUCCCUAGCUGGUCUGCGAGGAUGAUCAGCCACACUGGAACUGAGACACGGUCCAGACUCCUACGGGAGGCAGCAGUGGGGAAUAUUGCACAAUGGGCGCAAGCCUGAUGCAGCCAUGCCGCGUGUAUGAAGAAGGCCUUCGGGUUGUAAAGUACUUUCAGCAGUGAGGAAGGUUCAUGCGUUAAUAGCGUAUGGAUUUGACGUUAGCUGCAGAAGAAGCUCCGGCUAACUCCGUGCCAGCAGCCGCGGUAA